Molecule: ribosomal RNA, 485 nt
Filed under: uncultured bacterium
Lineage: Bacteria
Description: bacterial SSU rRNA
Rfam family: Bacterial small subunit ribosomal RNA
Source: RNAcentral
AGACUUUGAUUCUGGCUCAGAACGAACGCUGGCGGCAGGCCUAACACAUGCAAGUCGAGCGCGCCCUUCGGGGUGAGCGGCGUACGGGUGAGUAACGCGUGGGAACGUGCCCUUUGCUGCGGAAUAGCCACUGGAAACGGUGAGUAAUACCGCAUGAGCCCUUCGGGGGAAAGAUUUAUCGGCAAAGGAUCGGCCCGCGUUGGAUUAGGUAGUUGGUGGGGUAAUGGCCUACCAAGCCGACGAUCCAUAGCUGGUUUUAGAGGAUGAUCAGCCACACUGGGACUGAGACACGGCCCAGACUCCUACGGGAGGCAGCAGUGGGGAAUCUUAGACAAUGGGCGCAAGCCUGAUCUAGCCAUGCCGCGUGAGUGACGAAGGCCCUAGGGUCGUAAAGCUCUUUCCCCUGUGAUGAUAAUGACAGUAGCAGGUAAAGAAACCCCGGCUAACUCCGUGCCAGUAGCCCCGGUAAUACAGAAGGGGUUAGC